UUAUUAUUAUUUUGAGGGAAAAUUGUACUUUUUGUCGCUAAGUUAUAGGGUAAUUGUAGAAUUCGUCCUUAAGUGUUGGUAAUACUCACUUUUCGUCUCUGAGUUCUUCUUGG
Ipomoea nil (Japanese morning glory) is the source of this 113-nucleotide long non-coding RNA. RefSeq lists it as uncharacterized. The record is from RefSeq and is a predicted model, not a curated record. The transcript is spliced from 4 exons. Lineage: Eukaryota; Viridiplantae; Streptophyta; Magnoliopsida; Solanales; Convolvulaceae.